This is a non-coding RNA of Pteropus alecto (black flying fox), 123 nucleotides long. The record is from Rfam. Lineage: Eukaryota; Metazoa; Chordata; Mammalia; Chiroptera; Pteropodidae.
GCUUGAGACAUACAUAUCAGUGUUUUAGGAGCCCGAUCCCAUCUGAUUUCAGAAGCUAAGCAGGGUCGGGGCUGGUUAGUACUUGGAUGGGAGACCACCUAGGAAGACCAGAUGCUAUAGGCG